Anguilla anguilla (European eel) is the source of this 821-nucleotide long non-coding RNA. RefSeq lists it as uncharacterized. The record is from RefSeq and is a predicted model, not a curated record. NCBI's taxonomy places the organism in Eukaryota, Metazoa, Chordata, Actinopteri, Anguilliformes, Anguillidae. The transcript is spliced from 3 exons.
GGCGCUUACAGGAGGACCGCACGCCCCCAUAUCUCCUCUACUCUCCCAUCCUAGUAAAGAAAUGAGAAAAAGAAAGAGGGAGGAGAGGGAAGACGGCUGGGACGGGUGCCUCAUUUAAAUGUCUUUUCUUAGUUCCUGGGAGUUAGCAAUAUGGUGUGUGGCGCUAACUCCCUGAGGUAGUCUAAUGUUAUUAUCGGAUUAGCGGGAAAAGCACCGAAGCUGGACAAUAUUUACUACAGAUGGAGAUGUUUUCAGUUUACCCCGACGGAAACUGUUUGCGCAGACUUAAUUGAUAAGCCACACUGCAUUGGCAUUUUAAGAAAAAUUUUACCGGUUUGACCCCGCCGAUUACACAAACAUCCCCCGGGGAAUCGGCUUAUGCAGGCCCUUGUCAAAGCGAAGGGACGUUUUCCGGCUUGAUCGGAGUCGCCAGACCCACACGGACGGGCUAAACGCGACUAUUUCUUGAUCCGGAAAAGAUGCAAUUCUCCUGGGCGACCUAAACAAAGGUUCAAGUUACAGCUUCAAAGCGGAAAAAGUCCACAUACUUCGGGUGGAAGAACAUUUGGGAGUGUGUGACCUGGCUUACGGCAACAAAUCAAAACAUUGGUGUUUUGGAAAUCUGAGCCCACUGUGGGGACCGAGGGAAAGUAACUGUCUUCUGCAAAGGACGGGAGGAAAGGAAGCUGCGCUCCCCACAGAAGAGAAGUACACGCACACACUCUCUCACACAUACACUGACACAUACACAUUCACACACUCUCUCACACUGACACACACACUCUCUCACACACUCACACAUACACAUUCACACACACUCU